This 3885-nucleotide long non-coding RNA is filed under the name Bemisia tabaci. RNAcentral's name for it is "lncRNA ENSSSA1NGG000292". Lineage: Eukaryota; Metazoa; Arthropoda; Insecta; Hemiptera; Aleyrodidae. The record is from RNAcentral.
UUUUUCUAUGCAAUGAUUUGACUUGCAGUGAGAAAUAACAUUCCUUCGAUGAAUCCGCAGUAAAGAUACUUUCAUCACUGUACAGUUGAACGUGCUCAUAAAGAAAGGUGCGUCUCAACUUGCAAUGCUUCCUGGAUUUUAGUAAAUAUUUUGAUGUUGAAGUAAACUGAUUCUUACCUGCAACAGAAGAGAAAAACAACAAAAAUUGUAGAUUUUAAAUUGUAAAAUAAUUUAAAAUAAAAAAUAAAAAAGAUUUCAGGACGAAAGGCGAAGUCAAUACCUAACAAAUUUGCCAAAAAUGAUCCUGGUGCCUAUGAAUGGAUCAUGGUAAAACUUAUGGAAAAAAUAUGAACGGAUUCCAAUCUACGCACAGUAUCAUUAAAUGAUACUGUGCGUAGAUUGGACAACAAAUUCUCUCACAAAUUUUGUGCGAUGUGUAUCGAUUCAUUUCAAUUCUUACUAAACAUUAUCGAUGAUUUUUUCAAUGACGUCACCUCUGGACGGACCAUUAUCUAUAUAUUACCUCGUCUUUCUUCUCCGUGUACAGAACUGUAAUCGAAUGAUUUUGAUCAGUAAAUGUGUAUCCUAACGAUGCUCAUUAUUGAUCAAAGUCAUUCGAUAAGGAGUCAACAAUUUAUUUGUACACGUUUCAAGUGUAGUGCGUCAACGGUGUCAUCAUUGAACGAGUUCAUCAGAGAAAAUUCCGUAAGAAACUUCGAUCCAUUCAAAUCGACCGAAUUCGACAUGAGAGGGACCGAGCGUAGAGUGGCAAUACUGAUUAUAAGCUGGAGGCAACAUGACGAACCCUCGUAAAGACAAGAACCAACUGAUUGUCCGGCUGUCAAUCAGGUCCAUCAGACCUCUUCCUGAUUAGCUGCUCCUCCAUUGUUGCUGUAGUGAACCUUUAUUCUGUUGAAUAAGGUGUUGUUCCAGUUAAUUUUUUUCUCUAAUCUUCAUUUUUCGCCCUACCCGAUAAUAUGGUUUAAAUUGGAGGGUGCGGAAUCUAUGUAAAAUGUUCCAGGGUGACUUCUUCAGGGUGACAAGUUUUCAUCUAUUUCAAAAUUCGCAGACUUAUCAAAGAUUUUGAGCACAAAAUUCUCCGACUUUAAAAUUUUUGGGGUGAGAUGUGCAGAUUUUUUGUGAGAAUUCUUUGCACGGAAAAUUUUAAGCGCGAAGUCUCUUGACAUUAGAACGAUAAAAUGUUUUAGGCUAGAAUAAAAAAUUUCAAAAUUCCGCAUCCAAAUUCUCAGACUUUUCAGGGUUCAGCAAAUUUCCUUAACUUUUGCAGGUUUUACCUCCCAAAUCAAGGGCUUAGCAGUUCUCGGGGCACCACUUCACCAUUGGUCUAGAUAUACAGGGAUACCAAUGAGGGUGCCUACGUAUGUCUUGGUCUCACUACACACAGAGAAUGGACGACUCACUCUUCUUUCUUUUUUCUAGUUGAAAACAAGUUUUUAACUCUCUUAAAACGCCCCGGUUUUUUUUCUUCAUUUUAUGUUUUGAAUCUUGUACAUUUUCCAGAAGCCAUGCCGCAGAUUUAAUUGUUAUUUCACUAUACCAGAGGUUCAUUUCCGAUGUCUUCCCAUUUCCAUAUUAAAAGGCUUGCGGUCUUUGACCCAGUUCUCAAAUUGAUGGACAUCUAUCAUUGAAGCAAUUAUUUCUUACAGCGGGCUGAUUGUUGAAAUUAUAGACAAAGCUAUACACAAAGAAAAGAUAGGGAAUACUGAGCUAUCCUAUUGGUUGAAACGAGUGGUUCUUAUAGACUAAGAGGGAAAAUAAUUGACGAACUGUAGGGUCUCUUGUUGGUUGCCGUUGGUUAGUCCAUUACCUACCUCCUUUGUAAAUUGCAACCACCCGCUUCCAUGACUAAUAGGAUCCCUCCUUAUCCAUUUUGUCGUCUUUGUCUACAGCUUUGUCUACCAAUUUUAACUACUAGCCCGCACUGGAUUUAGACAUUUUUAAUAUACCUAUAUUGACCGAUAUUUUGUGAUUUUGCGAAAUGAACCUGUUGUUUUGUCAUAAGGUACGUAAGCGAAUUCAAGUUUUUCAUCUAAAAUAGCUAAAAUGAAGCCACUGUUUUGAAACGACGUAUGUACCCAUCAAAAGGAUCCCCCCAUUUUCCCUCUGCCUUAUAUGUCUAUCGCUUUGUCUAUCAAUACAAUUAACCAGCUCACAGGUCGGCAACGUCGGGGCUGCGACCGUGGGGCGUGGGGUCGCGAUCCGAUUCUGAUAGUGAUUUUGUAGAUGAGAGGCUCAAGGCUCGAGAGGCCCCAAUCGGCACAAGAUCCAUAAAAGUUGCUGUCAUAAGAUUGAUGCGUGACCACGAGUUCGCUGCUCGAACCCGUUCCUGACUAAUGGCCUGCGUCUGCAUAAACUGCACUCCACACCCAGGGUCCCGGCAUCCCAGCACGGGGCACAGGACUGGGACUAAGGGGUCCUAUUCUUGGAAAAUUCUCUGGGUGCGUCCAUCAUGAUUAUGCGUCGCAGCCGUGCGGAGAGACCUUUGUCAAGAUGCUCUGCUGCGGGACGAUUAUUGAAAUUAAUAGACAAAGCUGUAGACAGAGUAGACAUAUGGAAUACGGAGCGAUCCUAUUGGUUGAAGUAGGUGGUUCCUGUAGACUAAGGAAGAAAAUGAAUAAGGAAUAAAUUUUUCGCUCAGACGCCACUAGUUUCAUUAUUUCAAAACGUCAUUUUUGCACUUAUUGCAACAAUAUUGACUCACAAGCAGAAACUAAAAUACACGAUGCGCGAUGUUUUCUAGUAUUUGAAUACAUGAUACAGUCAUUAUCAACGCAGGUUUGGAUAGAUCUAGAUUUUACUGAUGAGCAAGGAUUAACCAUCAAAAUACGAUUCUGAGACACGCAUAAUAAUAAAAAAUACAUCUUCAUUUCUUUAAGAUAUAAACUGCUUAUAAUUAUGUUCAAUGAUUAAUUUUCGAAUAAUAUCAUACAAGGCUUUUGUUCGUAUCUAAGCAAUAAGGAAUGACAAUGCCUCGUGCAUCUUAUUUUCCACCGCGUUCAUGACAUUUACAGCGACGGUCAACUUUGGCUCACAACUCGGGGGAAAAUUCGACGCAGGUCGCAUUUAAUCUUAUGAGCCUAUUAAUUUAUCGGAGAAUGGACUGGGAAGACUACGCUAAAACACCCGGUGUUCGUACCUUAUAUGGGUGCAUUACACGCUUGAUUGUCAACUUCACUUCUGAUGGCGAGCGCCGAUUAUAAAGAUCAGUAUGAAGGUACAGGCGUUAAGCCGGAAGUUACACAGCUCAUACUCUCAGCUGCGUUAUUCUGAAAGGUGGCUGACAUUUUGACAAGCUGGUCGAUAGGGGAGGUAAGAAAACUUUCCCUCAGUUUCACUCGCUUUUGGCACAGUUAUACUGAUACCAUUCGAUAUGGACAACUCUGGCUUGAAUGAGGAGCGGUACACUACUAAAAUGAGAUCUGAGUCAUUUACCACAAACUUAGUGCCCAUUCUUCUACAGGGUCUACAAAAAUUUAAUUUUGGAUUAGCCUGAUGUUACCAAGGUAUUUGUUAGUACUUAAAAUGAAAUUUCCUGAUUUUUUGCACGAAUAAAUUGACACUUGUUUUAUUUAACAAACCAAUGUAUUUGAUGAUUCGAAUUAAAUGUUUCACUGUUACAUGCGCUGAACUGCAUGUACACAGUUUGAAAAAAGCGUGAUAUUUUCAAGGUAUUUCCUGGUACUUAAAAUGAAAUUUUCUGAUUUUUCGCACGAAUAAAACAACACUUGUUUGGUUCAACAAACCAACAUAUUUGAUGAGUCGAACUAAAUGUUUCACUUUUGCAUGCUCUAAACUGCAUGUAUAGGUUCAGUUUGGAAAAAGUUUGACGCAAAUGGAAUUUUCUGAUCCAUGACCGAUUUUCCC